AACGAACGCUGGCGGCAUGCCUAACACAUGCAAGUCGAACGAGACCUUCGGGUCUAGUGGCGCACGGGUGUGUAACGCGUGGGAACCUUCCCUUAGGUUCGGAAUAACUCCCCGAAAGGGGUGCUAAUACCGGAUCAUGUCUUCGGACCAAGGAUUUAUCGCCUUUGGAUGGGCCCGCGUUGGAUUAGCUAGUUGGUAGGGUAAUAGCCUACCAAGGCGACGAUCCAUAGCUGGUCUGAGAGGAUGAUCAGCCACACUGGGACUGAGACACGGCCGAGACUCCUACGGGAGGCAGCAGUGGGGAAUAGUGGACAAUGGGCGAAAGGCUGAACCAGCAAUGCCGCGUGAGUGAUGAAGGCCUUAGGGUUGUAAAGCGCUUUUACCCGGGAUGAUAAUGACAGUACCGGGAGAAUAAGCUCCGGCUAACUCCGUG
Molecule: ribosomal RNA, 433 nt
Filed under: uncultured bacterium
Lineage: Bacteria
Description: partial 16S ribosomal RNA
Rfam family: Bacterial small subunit ribosomal RNA
Source: RNAcentral